ACUCCUGCGGGAGGCAGCAGUGGGGAAUUUUGGACAAUGGGCGAAAGCCUGAUCCAGCAAUGCCGCGUGCAGGAUGAAGGCCUUCGGGUUGUAAACUGCUUUUGUACGGAACGAAAAAGCUCCUUCUAAUACAGGGGGCCCAUGACGGUACCGUAAGAAUAAGCACCGGCUAACUACGUGCCAGCAGCCGCGGUAAUACGUAGGGUGCGAGCGUUAAUCGGAAUUACUGGGCGUAAAGCGUGCGCAGGCGGUUAUGUAAGACAGAUGUGAAAUCCCCGGGCUCAACCUGGGAACUGCAUUUGUGACUGCAUGGCUAGAGUACGGUAGAGGGGGAUGGAAUUCCGCGUGUAGCAGUGAAAUGCGUAGAUAUGCGGAGGAACACCGAUGGCGAAGGCAAUCCCCUGGACCUGUACUGACGCUCAUGCACGAAAGCGUGGGGAGCAAACAGGAUUAGAAACCCCAGUAGUCCCA
Molecule: ribosomal RNA, 471 nt
Filed under: uncultured organism
Description: partial 16S ribosomal RNA
Rfam family: Bacterial small subunit ribosomal RNA
Source: RNAcentral